Molecule: ribosomal RNA, 1480 nt
Filed under: Shigella flexneri
Lineage: Bacteria; Pseudomonadati; Pseudomonadota; Gammaproteobacteria; Enterobacterales; Enterobacteriaceae
Description: partial 23S ribosomal RNA
Rfam family: Bacterial large subunit ribosomal RNA
Source: RNAcentral
GGGUUGUGAGGUUAAGCGACUAAGCGUACACGGUGGAUGCCCUGGCAGUCAGAGGCGAUGAAGGACGUGCUAAUCUGCGAUAAGCGUCGGUAAGGUGAUAUGAACCGUUAUAACCGGCGAUUUCCGAAUGGGGAAACCCAGUGUGAUUCGUCACACUAUCAUUAACUGAAUCCAUAGGUUAAUGAGGCGAACCGGGGGAACUGAAACAUCUAAGUACCCCGAGGAAAAGAAAUCAACCGAGAUUCCCCCAGUAGCGGCGAGCGAACGGGGAGCAGCCCAGAGCCUGAAUCAGUGUGUGUGUUAGUGGAAGCGUCUGGAAAGGCGCGCGAUACAGGGUGACAGCCCCGUACACAAAAAUGCACAUGCUGUGAGCUCGAUGAGUAGGGCGGGACACGUGGUAUCCUGUCUGAAUAUGGGGGGACCAUCCUCCAAGGCUAAAUACUCCUGACUGACCGAUAGUGAACCAGUACCGUGAGGGAAAGGCGAAAAGAACCCCGGCGAGGGGAGUGAAAAAGAACCUGAAACCGUGUACGUACAAGCAGUGGGAGCACGCUUAGGCGUGUGACUGCGUACCUUUUGUAUAAUGGGUCAGCGACUUAUAUUCUGUAGCAAGGUUAACCGAAUAGGGGAGCCGAAGGGAAACCGAGUCUUAACUGGGCGUUAAGUUGCAGGGUAUAGACCCGAAACCCGGUGAUCUAGCCAUGGGCAGGUUGAAGGUUGGGUAACACUAACUGGAGGACCGAACCGACUAAUGUUGAAAAAUUAGCGGAUGACUUGUGGCUGGGGGUGAAAGGCCAAUCAAACCGGGAGAUAGCUGGUUCUCCCCGAAAGCUAUUUAGGUAGCGCCUCGUGAAUUCAUCUCCGGGGGUAGAGCACUGUUUCGGCAAGGGGGUCAUCCCGACUUACCAACCCGAUGCAAACUGCGAAUACCGGAGAAUGUUAUCACGGGAGACACACGGCGGGUGCUAACGUCCGUCGUGAAGAGGGAAACAACCCAGACCGCCAGCUAAGGUCCCAAAGUCAUGGUUAAGUGGGAAACGAUGUGGGAAGGCCCAGACAGCCAGGAUGUUGGCUUAGAAGCAGCCAUCAUUUAAAGAAAGCGUAAUAGCUCACUGGUCGAGUCGGCCUGCGCGGAAGAUGUAACGGGGCUAAACCAUGCACCGAAGCUGCGGCAGCGACGCUUAUGCGUUGUUGGGUAGGGGAGCGUUCUGUAAGCCUGUGAAGGUGUACUGUGAGGUAUGCUGGAGGUAUCAGAAGUGCGAAUGCUGACAUAAGUAACGAUAAAGCGGGUGAAAAGCCCGCUCGCCGGAAGACCAAGGGUUCCUGUCCAACGUUAAUCGGGGCAGGGUGAGUCGACCCCUAAGGCGAGGCCGAAAGGCGUAGUCGAUGGGAAACAGGUUAAUAUUCCUGUACUUGGUGUUACUGCGAAGGGGGGACGGAGAAGGCUAUGUUGGCCGGGCGACGGUUGUCCCGGUUUAAG